GACGAACGCUGGCGGCGUGCUUAACACAUGCAAGUCGAACGAAAAGGCCCUGCUUUUGUGGGGUGCUCGAGUGGCGAACGGGUGAGUAACACGUGAGUAUCCUGCCCUUGACUUUGUGAUAACUUCAGGAAACUGGGGCUAAUACCGGAUAGGAUCUCCUGCUGCAUGGUGGGGGUUGGAAAGAUUCGGCGGUUGGGGAUGGACUCGCGGCUUAUCAGCUUGUUGGUGGGGUAGUGGCUUACCAAGGCUUUGACGGGUAGCCGGCCUGAGAGGGUGACCGGCGACAUGGGGACUGAGAGACGCCGCAGACUCCUAUGGGCGGCAGUAGUGGGGAACAUUGCAGAAUGGGCCGACGUGUGAGGUAGCAACGCCGCGUGCGGGAUGACGGCCUUCGGGGUGUAAACCGCUUUGGACUGUGACGAAGAGGGAGUGACGGUAAUGGGUAAAGAAGCAACGGCUAACUACGUG
This 468-nucleotide ribosomal RNA is filed under the name uncultured bacterium. Its description in RNAcentral is "partial 16S ribosomal RNA". It matches the Rfam family "Bacterial small subunit ribosomal RNA", at positions 28 to 507 of the family's 1533-position model. The record is from RNAcentral.